Equus caballus (horse) is the source of this 5876-nucleotide long non-coding RNA. RefSeq lists it as uncharacterized. The record is from RefSeq and is a predicted model, not a curated record. NCBI's taxonomy places the organism in Eukaryota, Metazoa, Chordata, Mammalia, Perissodactyla, Equidae.
CAACUUCCAUCAACUGACGAAUGGAUAGACAAAUGUGGCAUAUCCAUAUCCAUACAGUGAAAUAUUUACCCCCAUUCCCUUGACCCACAAUACUCCCUAAUGUGAGCGUUUCAGAUUAAAAAAAAAAAGUUCUAAAUAUUCGAUAUGAUUCCUCCACUUGAAAGUCAAAGCUCCCACAAGAAUGCAUUAGCCUUCCUCUCCAUUGCCUGCUAAUGUGGAAAGACAGUGGGCUUGGCAACUGUCACACAAGUCAAGACCCUGGUUGGACCACUGUAAUUGUUAGCUAUGACUGCAUAAAAGCCACCUCAAAACUCAGUGGCUUAAAACAGGAAGCCCCAGGAGUCCUUUGCAAGAACAGUUUCUAGAAAGAUGAGGCAGGAGACAGAUUGCAGGCAGUGAAGAAUGAGUGGUGGUGAGGGCUUGUAGGCAGUGAGGUCUGCGGUGAAGGAAGGGAGAGAACAGUAGCUGGACAGGCAAGGAAAACUGAGAAAAGGAUGUGGUUGGUUGUCGCUGUUGAUUUAGUAAACUAGGAAAGACUGUGGCAUUAAGACUCAGGGCAUGACGCUGAUCUCGAGGAAGGAAUGGAAGCUGUAGGAGAAGGUAUAAACAGUGUAGCAAUGUUCCACAGAACAUGGAAAGAAUGAGAACUGAGUGCACAACUGGAGGACUUAGCCUUAGAAACCAGAAGAGGUAUGUCUUCGUCUUGAGACAAAAGUGUUAGGGAGAAAGAGUCACCGUUACUACCAAAGAUGUGAAAGUUCCCUAGUAAAGACGGGACCCAAGGAGCAGUGUCAGGAAGCUUCCAUUGGAACACUUGCUCUGGCUGAAAAAAAACCACCACGUAAGAAUUUUGCCAUCCCAAAGGCUGCCAUGCUGGAGUAUCACCUGAAUGUCGCUGAGCUCCUCGCCGACAGCCAGCAUCAGCUGCCAUCUGUGUAAGCGGGCCAUCUUGGUCUCGUAUCUGGUUCAACCUGGUCGAGCUUUCAAAUGACUGCAGCUGCAGCCAACACCUAACUUCGACCUUAUGAGAGACCCCAAGUAAGAACUGCCUAGCUCAGCCUUUUCUGAAGUUCUGACCCACAAAAUAGGUAGAGAUGGUUGUUGCUUUACAAUGAGUUUUAGGGUAAUUUGUUACACAGCAACCAGAAUCAGAACAGCCUCACAACAGCACUGAGCAGCAGAGCUAGGAUUCAAAUGCAAGCUUGUGUAUCUUGGAUGCCAGCACUUGACCACUUCAUUCUCCUGGAUGUUCCUCUUUAUAUAUCCCCACAUCCAGCAUAGUUUCUCCCACAGAGCAUAUGCUGAACAAAUAUUUCACCUACCUUUUAGAUAGAUGCCUUCUCAUCUCUGUUUUCUCUUCCACUUCCCAGCAAAUCGACAUGACCUACUGUGUCAUUGUCCAACAUUGCUAAAACAUAGCAAUGGUUAUUAAAACUUUUAUCACCUUAUUGCCAAGUAAAUCUUCAAUACAGUCAACCAAUCACAUCCUGUUACUUUUAGGCUUUGGCAAGUCAAAAAGCCUUCAUUUUCUAGGCUUUGAGAGAAAGAUUAUGUCUUCCUUUUAUACAUAUUAAUCAGAAAUUAUCAGAGUCUUCAUAUUUCUCAUCUGGAUUUUUGCUAGGCAUAGUAAACUUAAGGAGGACAAAAACGCAAUAGACACUGGGCAUAAAUGACCUAUUAUGACUGAGGGUUCAUGAGUUAAAUAGAGUUGAAAGUUUAAACUUGUACAGAACCUAGCUCUUAAACUCUUUAGUGCUUCCUUUUCAGUAUUACCACCUCUUUAAACAAUAAGGCGGGUUUUUUUAAAUGAUCUAUCCAUCUUAAAAACACCUGUAUCAGCAGACGGCAGAACAUACUAGAAAUCAUGCAGCAAAUUAAAUGUCAAGCAGGAAUGAGUCAAUGUGCUCUGUGUUUCAUUAGCACCAUCCAGUGAAGUCACAAAUCCUGCCUGAGUUGAAAUCUAAGCCACACCAAGAUCAUGAAGCCUGUGCUCAGAUCUGUUUUCCUCUUGAAUUCUAACGGGCUGAGUUGCUACUACUGAACUUAGAAACAGGCUAUUCUUGAGUCAACAAUGCCGUUGUAAAUGUCAUUCAAUGAGUACCUGUCUCUGUUUAUGGGCAGCUUGUCUUCAUAUCAAAAGAGAGCAGAAUCUUAUUGCUCAAACACCCCACCCUCCUCAUUACGAUUUCAUUACUAGAUUCUUCUCUAAUAUUCCUGAAUAAUACCCCUAAUCUUGACAUGAGCGAUGGACCCAAUCUUCACAGAGGACACCUUUCACAUCACCCAAGGUGGUCAUUCUCAGUGGGAGCCUUGCCUGAGGAGUGAUGCUGUUUUCUUUCAUUCAUUAACUACUCCAGAAGUCAGGGUCUGGAGCCCAACACGAGCCACCUGAGACCCAGGCAGUGGCUUUACAGUGUCAGCAGCAGCGCCCGGCUCCUCCUCACCACAUUCCCAAUUCCUACUGUUUCUCUUUUUUCUUCUUCUCCAAUUUGUUCCUGCUUCCCUGUGCCUCCUAAGAUAACAGAAGGUUUGCAAACAGGCUGUUAGAGUAGUGAGGUAUUAUUGUGAAAUAGCAAACAUAUGUCUUUGGAUAACCGUAAGCAGAAUAAGUCUCAGGGAUCCGUGACACACUAUUGCGAGUCUCAUAUUUCACUAUAUGUUUAUUACUUCACCACCUGAAGAUCUGGGGACAGAAUAUCACAAAUAAUGUGAAUGCUUGAGGUUAGUUCUGAUUUAUCUAUUUUAUUUAUCAUAAAGUUAGUCUUGUUUUGCUUCUAAUUCUGCAAAGAUGUCCUUGGGUCCUGAAUAUUGGAUUUCCUAUUUUAUUUCAGGAAUUCUAGGUUUUAGGUAGAAUAGGAUGGUGGCUAAGGAUCUGGAGUCAUGCUGAGGUUUGAAUCCUGCUCUGCCCUCACUGGCUGUUCCUUGGGCAGACUCCUUAAGGCAGAUAACUGCUUAUCUAUCCUGAUUCUUCUUCAAUAAAUUGGAAGUACCAAAAGAGCACCAACUUUGCUCACUGCUGUAUCCCUGGUACCUAGGACAUUGCCUGGAACGUAAUGGGCACAUAAUAAAAUUUACUGAAUAAGUAAAUGUAUGUAUGAAUAUAUGAAUGUAUGAAUAAUGCUUACCAUAUGAAUUCCUUUCCUUCACUCAGUUAUUCACUAUGGCAGAAGAUAUCCUGCUCAUCUUUCUGUUUCCCACAGCACCUAACCCAGGGUUUUGGAUUGAAGUAUCCAUCAAUAUUUUUGAACUUGAGUACAUUUGAACUGAAACACAUCACUGCAUAAUUCAAGCAUCUUCUAUUCCUUCCUGGUGGACAGCACAUUACAGGGAAUCAAGAGAAAAGGAUGGCAUGGCAGAGUGACAUCAACUCUCUCUUCUUGCCUCUGGCUCUUUUCUCCUUGGGCUUUGCCCCUGCAGGGGUAAUACCUAGAUGUUUUUUUCCUGACUACCCCGCUUAGCCUUCAGAGUCAAUAAAACUGAUCCCUAGAUGAUGAACAUCUUUCAUAACAAAUCAGGCACUAGUCUCAGGUUCUAAUCCUGAUUCCUCUGUAACCAACCUGUAUAACUCAGCAAGUCACAUCACCUUAUAGAGCGGUGCUGGGCUUCACUCCCUGUAAGGAGGAAUCCUGCCUCACAGGGUCAUUGUGGGACACAUGAAUGUGCAAGAACUGUGAAAAGGAUGACGUGGGUAGCAAUGCUCAUUUUUUUUAAUUAAGACAUGAAACUAGAGACUCGUUUUUCUAUGAGACGUAGGGCAUAAUACUCAAGCCAUUACAAGCCAGUCAGUCUUUUGUAAGAUCGUGCCACACAGACCUCAAUAGAGAUACUUCUAGUACUAUCACACAAUUUAAAAAUCAUGGUUUCUUUAGGAUAUGUUCCCUUAAUCACUCCACAAAUAUAUAUGGAGCACUUUCAUUGUGUCAAGCACUGUUUUAAUUACGGAGGAAAAGUUAGGAAGGAAAACCCCUGACUGUGUGGGUUUACAUUCUAGUGGGAGAGCAAGAUAUGUAAAGAGAUAAUUACCUCUGAGUGAUAAAAACAAUGAGAGAAGAAUGCUCAGGAUGUCUGUACUAUAGUAGCCUAGAGAAAGGGCUCCCUCGUGGAGUUGGGGAGAUGGUGUCAGUGUUGGAGAUUAGGAAGUAAUAACUGAGAUGCGUCUUAAAGAAUAAGCCAACACUCAGCAAACAUUGAGUAAAUGAAUGGUACUUGUGGCAUUCUACUUGGUAGUGAAGAUGGCAGAGCCCAGAAAGGGAAUGAGGAAAGGAGGGAGACAGUUCAUAGAGGAAUUACCAACAUUCAAUUUUGAGGAUGCCAAAUAGGAGGCUGAAGGGGAGAAAAACUGGCAGAAUCGAGUAAGAGGUCUUCGGGUCUUGGGAGACUAGAUUUGCUUUGUGAGGAGCUCAGACAUUAUCCUGCUGGAGACGGGGAGUAAUGGAAGAAAAGGACUGACCUGGGCAUACCUUAGAUUAGAUGGGUCACUCUGGUUGACACUUCUUCCUUGAAAUUAUUGAAAUGACAACAUUGAGAUAUACAAGUUCGUGCGCCAUUCUCAGCCCACUCUCCUUGUUUCUCUGGGCGUGAGGACCCAAAGUUAGUCCACACCGGGGAGUUCUGUUUUAAUCUUGGUAUGUUUUCUGUAUGGAACGUGGAUGGGGCUUUUUUUUCCUAUGAUUUUUACUAUCAGCCUUUCUCCCAGGGUUACUUUCAUGCUGCAAAAGUAGACCUGCUGAGUCUGUCACAGCCACGGCUAUUCAACUCCAUGCAAGAUACAUUUGCCUGAGCAAAAUACAUUUGGUGCAAGGUGCAAAGUGUCUCGCUAGAUAUUGAGAGGACCAGAAAAAUAAUGUCAGUCCCAACCUAGUACUCUAGGGAGAUUCAUAAUGAAGAGUGGUAACUACAUCGUUGACUUUCACAAAAGGUGAACUUUAACGAAUAUGUCAUUUGCUAAGAGAAAUUCACCCACCCCUCACCACUGCCUGCACUCCAUAUUCACUGGUCAUAUUCUACGAUGCCUCUACUUUGUCAUACCAAUUUAUGAUUUAUGAAGCGCUUUACUCAUCAUUUCAUUUGAUCAUCAUAUGAAUCCUGUGAAAUACUAAAUCUAGUAUUACCAACCCCAUUUGACAAAUCAGUAAAGUGAGGCAUUCAGUGACCAAACCAGCACAAAAAGCCAGUGUUUUUACAAAAUACACAGAGCUCAGACUAGCUCUCCCUGGCCUACCAAAGAGAGUGCAAGACUUUCCUUUAGGAUUGCUUAAUGUCCUCUUAAAGUGCACAAGAAAUGCAGAUUGCUUGUCCAGUAAUGAAUCCAAUUUCAGAAGCCGUCCAGGAAAAUGCCAACUUGUCUUUAGCAAUGUUUUUGGCUUUUAGAAGCAGGUAUGCCCUAAAACGCACUCGAUAAUCCGGACACAGCAUGCAGUCUUGUGGGCACGGGAACUUUAGUGCUGUCAUGCUUCCCACAAAAUAGAACCAGGAAAAUUCUCAGAACCAAGGCAUCUCUCUCCCCUCCCCAUCCUUCUCCUCCUCUUGCCCCUCCUCCUCUUCUUUCUUCUCUUUCUCUCUCCUGUUCUCUUGUUUCCUCUGCUGAGUCAUAACUCUGGGCCCUCAUAACUUAGCUUGUACAUGGCUUAAUUUGCUUUCAAUUCAGCCCUGACUCUAUAUAAUUUCAAAAGUCCAAUGCUCACUACCAACUCAUCUUGCUUUCUGAGUAUAUUAGUUCAAAAUCUCAAGAGAAUUUAAUUGGCCCAAGUCAUCUCCUAUGAAUAAAGUACUCUUGGGUCAAAUGAUCAUCCAUGGGUCAAUCACCUGUGGCUAGAAAGUACUGACUCCCACAGUAUAAAAAUGGGGCUACCUAGGCUAGGUUUUGUUUUGCUUUG